AGAGUUUGAUCCUGGCUCAGGACGAACGCUGGCGGCACGCUUAACACAUGCAAGUCGAACGAGAGAAGAGGAGCUUGCUUUUCUGAUCUAGUGGCGGACGGGUGAGUAACACGUGAGCAAUCUGCCUUUCAGAGGGGGAUACCGAUUGGAAACGAUCGUUAAUACCGCAUAACAUAAUUGAACCGCAUGAUUUGAUUAUCAAAGAUUUAUCGCUGAAAGAUGAGCUCGCGUCUGAUUAGCUAGUUGGUAAGGUAACGGCUUACCAAGGCGACGAUCAGUAGCCGGACUGAGAGGUUGAUCGGCCACAUUGGGACUGAGACACGGCCCAGACUCCUACGGGAGGCAGCAGUGGGGAAUAUUGCACAAUGGAGGAAACUCUGAUGCAGCGAUGCCGCGUGAGGGAAGAAGGUUUUAGGAUUGUAAACCUCUGUCUUCAGGGACGAAAAAAGACGGUACCUGAGGAGGAAGCUCCGGCUAACUACGUGCCAGCAGCCGCGGUAAUACGUAGGGAGCGAGCGUUGUCCGGAAUUACUGGGUGUAAAGGGAGCGUAGGCGGGAUCGCAAGUCAGAUGUGAAAACUAUGGGCUUAACCCAUAAACUGCAUUUGAAACUGUGGUUCUUGAGUGAAGUAGAGGUAAGCGGAAUUCCUAGUGUAGCGGUGAAAUGCGUAGAUAUUAGGAGGAACAUCAGUGGCGAAGGCGGCUUACUGGGCUUUAACUUACGCUGAGGCUCGAAAGCGUGGGGAGCAAACAGGAUUAGAUACCCUGGUAGUCCACGCCGUAAACGAUGAUUACUAGGUGUGGGGGGACUGACCCCUUCCGUGCCGCAGCAAACGCAAUAAGUAAUCCACCUGGGGAGUACGACCGCAAGGUUGAAACUCAAAGGAAUUGACGGGGGCCCGCACAAGCAGUGGAGUAUGUGGAUUAAUUCGAAGCAACGCGAAGAACCUUACCAGGUCUUGACAUCGUAUGCAUAGCUCAGAGAUGAGUGAAAUCUCUUCGGAGACAUAUAGACAGGUGGUGCAUGGUUGUCGUCAGCUCGUGUCGUGAGAUGUUGGGUUAAGUCCCGCAACGAGCGCAACCCUUACUGUUAGUUGCUACGCAAGAGCACUCUAGCAGGACUGCCGUUGACAAAACGGAGGAAGGUGGGGAUGACGUCAAAUCAUCAUGCCCCUUAUGACCUGGGCCUCACACGUACUACAAUGGCUGUCAACAGAGGGAAGCAAAGCCGCGAGGUGGAGCGAACCCCUAAAAGCAGUCUUAGUUCGGAUUGUAGGCUGCAACCCGCCUACAUGAAGUCGGAAUUGCUAGUAAUCGCAGAUCAGCAUGCUGCGGUGAAUACGUUCCCGGGCCUUGUACACACCGCCCGUCACGCCAUGGGAGUCGGUAACACCCGAAGCCUGUAGUCUAACCGCAAGGAGGACGCAGUCGAAGGUGGGAUUGAUGACUGGGGUGAAGUCGUAACAAGGUA
RNAcentral lists this ribosomal RNA (1470 nucleotides) under metagenome. Its description in RNAcentral is "bacterial SSU rRNA". It matches the Rfam family "Bacterial small subunit ribosomal RNA". The record is from RNAcentral.